UCAACCACCAGUCCCACCUUUCCCCAC
This 27-nucleotide unclassified non-coding RNA is filed under the name Mus musculus (house mouse). Its description in RNAcentral is "oocyte_clustered_small_RNA3759". The record is from RNAcentral. Lineage: Eukaryota; Metazoa; Chordata; Mammalia; Rodentia; Muridae.